AAUAGAUACCCCGGUAGUCCACGCCGUAAACGGUGAGUGCUAAGUGUUAGAGGGUUUCCGCCCUUUAGUGCUGCAGCUAACGCAUUAAGCACUCCGCCUGGGGAGUACGGCCGCAAGGCUGAAACUCAAAGGAAUUGACGGGGGCCCGCACAAGCGGUGGAGCAUGUGGUUUAAUUCGAAGCAACGCGAAGAACCUUACCAGGUCUUGACAUCCUCUGACACUCCUAGAGAUAGGACGUUCCCCUUCGGGGGACAGAGUGACAGGUGGUGCAUGGUUGUCGUCAGCUCGUGUCGUGAGAUGUUGGGUUAAGUCCCGCAACGAGCGCAACCCUUGAUCUUAGUUGCCAGCAUUCAGUUGGGCACUCUAAGGGUGACUGCCGGUGACAAACCGGAGGAAGGUGGGGAUGACGUCAAAUCAUCAUGCCCCUUAUGACCUGGGGCUACACACGUGCUACAAUGGAUGGUACAAAGGGCAGCAAAGCCGCGAGGCCUAGCCAAUCCCAUAAAACCAUUCUCAGUUCGGA
This 524-nucleotide ribosomal RNA is filed under the name uncultured bacterium. RNAcentral describes it as "bacterial SSU rRNA". It matches the Rfam family "Bacterial small subunit ribosomal RNA", at positions 777 to 1297 of the family's 1533-position model. The record is from RNAcentral.